GCGACGCCUUCUUGUUGCACUCCCGCCAAAUCUUCCUCUGCCACCGCUGCUGCUACUGCAUCUGAAGUUUUGACCCACCACAGGAUCCGAUCAUAAAGAGAGCAGCUACCAUGUCGUCCCUGAUCUGCCCUGUUAAGUCCCUCAAUGUCAAUGAUCCUCCUCCACCUAACCCCACUUCUGCUAAAAAAAGCAGUUAACCCUGGGAAGGGAGUCCAAACUUCAACACUGGGAGUUGUGUGGCAACUGUCAGGGCAGCUGGAGCAACUCCUGAGGUUAAUUGCAGCUAUGUUUAUCUUGAAUUGCGGCUUAUAAUUUGGUAAAUUGCAUUUACCAUCUCGAGGUAUCUUCAAAUUUCACAAACACCUUUCUGUUUUGAAAAAUACACAGAAAGCACAAAAUAACUUUUGAUUACCUGUUUUGUUGGUUUAUAGGUAGUAGGUUAAUGUUAAAUAGCAGUAAUAGCUUACUGGUGGAUUUCUGUGUACUUCAUAUUUUUCAAGAUAGAUGCCAUUUUAGCGAAAUUUGAAGAUACCUGUCGCUGGUAUUUGUAAUUUGCUCAUUGUGAUUUAGAAAUUUAUCAACGGAAGAAAUGAAGUGAUUACUCUAUUUUCAGGUAAGACCCUUAUGAUUUAGAAAAUGGCUAUACUCGUCCAGUUGAAGGAAUCCAUAUUCUCAUUGAUAUGAAAAAUAUGGUGGUGAUUGAAUUUGAUGACUGUAAACUUGUUCCUCUACCACCAGCUGAUCCCUUAAGAAAUUACACUGCUGGUGAAUCUCGAGGAGGUGUUGAUAGAAGUGAUUUGAAACCUCUACAGUUCAUUCAGCCUGAAGGUCCUAGCUUUUGUGUGUCCAAGCUUUUGUGUUGAUGGACACUUUGUUCAGUAGCAGAAGGUGCUUGCUUCUUUAUGGAAGUGCAUCACUAAAUGGUGUCUAUGUUAAUGUGUUAUGCUUAUCAUUGAUUUCUUUUUGCCUGGCAGUGGAAUUUUCGUGUUGGUUUCACUCCCAGAGCAGUUUAGUUAUCUAUUCUGUUGUAUAUAAUGGCAAUUGAGGUAGGAGAUCUGUGGCCCACAUAUUAAGUUUUGUUGAGAUGGUGGUUGGGUAAAAAUGCACAUUCUCUUAAAAAGGUGAAGCGCUUUUUUUUUUGGUUACAUAAUCAUGUGUAUCUUCCUGUCUAAUUGACUUGAAGAUACUGAGUAAUUACAUAACUGUUAUGCUGCAAAAUUGUGAUUGUUUUGUCUUCAUCAAGUACUUUGAUGCGCGGUUUACAAAUUUCACCGGAGGUGUUGAAACAAAUGAGAACUGUUUUCGUUUACAUUAAGAGGAUGAUGGAAUUUUAUGGAAGCAUUAGGAUUGAAGAACAGGAUUAGCAGAAGUCUGACGUUCUAGAAGGCUGUCAGUUUUCUUAUAUGCACCGUGGCUAAUUAUGUGUAUGGAUUUCUUCUGACAUUUUUAUCAGUCAAGUCAGUGUCUGACUUGAAUUCCUCUGGGGUUUCUCUGUUCUGCUUUGUUUAUAUAAAUUGGCUUGAUGGCUUAAUAUCUUUCCUAAUCAAUUAAUUUCUUUUCUUAAAUUUAUGCAAAGCUUUCUGAGUGCAGAAACAAGGCUUAGCUUAGCUGCCCUCUUGAUAGCAAAAUGAGGUCAUUGAGUGAGGAACAUUUCUAUAGUUUCCUUUGCUAGAUGUUAACUCUUUUACCAGUUGCUAUCUCUUUAGCUUUUUGUGUGAAGUUGUAAGGAAGAUUUCUUUUUAAUAUCUUCAAGCUAGUUAUUCUCUCUGUUUUAGGAUGGGAAAAUUGAAGCUUAAGUUAAACUCACUGGAAUUCUUAGCUUAGGAGCACUGCAAUCUGGGGAAGUAAGAAAAUAUCGUACAACCGUUGCUUCUGGAUUAUAUGCACUGGUCCGUCAACACUUUUUUGUGGCACAUACGGUUUUAUCAUUAGGCUUUAUUGUCAACAUGCUUUUUCCUUCUUUUCCUCUUUUUCAUGACUAGCUUUCCUAUUUCUCUGUAGUCCUAUAACCUUAUUUUUGUUCACACACAUACACUCACUCACCCUUAUGUAAAUACCAGUUUGAACUGUAGUUUAAUGUAUUGCUCAAGAUGGACCCUGUUUAUGGUGCUUCUCAAUGAAUUUUCUCUUAAACUGGUUUGAAAUCAUCUGGAGACCUUAAUGAAUUGUCUCUUAAGCUGGUUUGAGAGGGAUAAUGCCCUGUUGCUGUAGGGUAAAUUCAAGGUAAUCUUGCGGCCAUUAGAUUGUAGCCCAUGUUUACUGUUGGUUAAUGGAGUUUGCUGAAUGAAUGAACUUUCAGUUUGAGUUGAUGUUCUGAUCCAUUGGAAGGUCUAUUGAUUCUCUUUAGAAGAUGGGAUAGAAUAAGAUGGUCCUCUACUUUGGUGCUGGCAAUAAUUGUUCAGAUUGUUGUUGUUUUUUCAUAUUGUUCUCUUGAAACACUUGUGAUUAGGUUUCAGACUUUCUACCCUUUAAUAUGUUAUUCUAUCUCCAUUAUACAGAUCAAACAUUAUGUUUGCUAUCGUGAUUAGGUUUCUGACCUUCUACUCUUUGAUAUAUCAUUCUAUCUACAGAUCAAAACAUAAUUUUUUUCCUAUUCUCUUGAUAUGUUAAUGGAGUUCCUGGAAUGUGAGCUGUGUAGGUUGCAUAAUUGGUUUGUUUGAAUUUGCCUUUUCACAUUUCUUUUCCCUUUUGGGAUAAAUUACCAUAUCUAAUCUGCAUUACCAAUUUUGUAAUUCAGAUCAGAAACACAAGAACCGUUAAUCGGACUGGGCAGCUUACACGGUACAAUUACAAAUUAGUACCUGGUUCAAAUUGUCUACCUUUGGCUGGUUCAGAGGCAAAAUUCUUAAGAAGAACUGCUUUCUUGAAACAUAAUCUGUGGGUAGUGCCUCAUGCUCAUAUGAUGAAAUGUAUCCUGGAGGAUAGUUUCCCAAUCAAAAUCCUCUUGAAGGAGGGCGAUUGGCUACUUGGGUGAAGCAAAAUUGCUAAUAUAGUUCCAUAGAAUGUAUCUGGAGUGACACACAUUCCCUGAUUGGAAGACUGACCUGUCAUGACAGUGGAACGCAUUGUUUUUAUGCCAAUGGUACAGGACUCGUAAUUAAAGCCGGGAUUCUUAGAGUCACACCACAAUAAUCAAAUGGCAAACAAAUGAAUGAUGACCAUUUGAGGUGCAAUUAAUGCAGUAAUAGUAGAGUUACAAUUGUGUUAUUCUUUACCCUAUUUGUGACGCAGCCACACAGAUUCUUUAACUGCGUACCAGCAAUGGAUGUUCCCCCAAGUUCAAGUGAUUUGGAUGUCAAGGACAAUGGAAUGACAGCAAAUCCUAUCCAGAAUGGACUAUGGCCAUUGGCUCAACUUCCAGCAACAUGCUACUUGAUUAGUAUGAUGUAUCAUAUUAUUUGGAAUGUCACCUUUGUUAUGAUGGUCACAUAUAUGUUCAAAAUGUCUAUCAUGGUGUGGUAGCUUUUGCCUUGAUAAUGUAGUUUUGUCUUGUCAUAGGCACAUGAUACCUUUUGAGUUGUCAUGUCAUGUGUUCCUUGCCCACAUGCUCCAUGUACGAAGUGAAUGCAUUCUGCUGCUGCAGGUCAAGUCGGUAAUGGAGAUUGUUUAUAUAAGA
Molecule: long non-coding RNA, 3616 nt
Organism: Hevea brasiliensis (rubber tree)
Lineage: Eukaryota; Viridiplantae; Streptophyta; Magnoliopsida; Malpighiales; Euphorbiaceae
Exons: 5
Source: RefSeq, a predicted model, not a curated record